This 68-nucleotide transfer RNA is filed under the name Marmota monax (woodchuck). RNAcentral describes it as "tRNA.Ala". Lineage: Eukaryota; Metazoa; Chordata; Mammalia; Rodentia; Sciuridae. The record is from RNAcentral.
GCUGUAACUCAGUGGUAGAGCACUUGCCUAGCACAAGUGAGGCCCUGGGUUCAAUCCCCAGUACUGCA